Marasmius tenuissimus is the source of this 89-nucleotide non-coding RNA. The record is from the annotation of a GenBank genome assembly. NCBI's taxonomy places the organism in Eukaryota, Fungi, Basidiomycota, Agaricomycetes, Agaricales, Marasmiaceae.
UCCGUUAUGGUGUGGUGGCUAACAUUAUCGCCUCAUGGAAAAAUCUGCUGAAAGCGCGAUAACCCAGGGUUUGAUUCCCUGUAACGGAA